This 266-nucleotide ribosomal RNA is filed under the name uncultured bacterium. Its description in RNAcentral is "partial 16S ribosomal RNA". It matches the Rfam family "Bacterial small subunit ribosomal RNA", at positions 521 to 786 of the family's 1533-position model. The record is from RNAcentral.
UAAUACGUAGGGGGCAAGCGUUGUCCGGAGUUAUUGGGCGUAAAGAGCGUGUAGGCGGCCAGACAGGUCCGUUGUGAAAACUCGAGGCUCAACCUCGAGACGCCGAUGGAAACCGUUUGGCUAGAGUCCGGAAGAGGAGAGUGGAAUUCCUGGUGUAGCGGUGAAAUGCGCAGAUAUCAGGAAGAACACCCGUGGCUAAGGCGGCUCUCUAGUACGGUACUGACGCUGAGACGCGAAAGCGUGGGGAGCGAACAGGAUUAGAUACC